RNAcentral lists this ribosomal RNA (613 nucleotides) under uncultured bacterium. Its description in RNAcentral is "bacterial SSU rRNA". It matches the Rfam family "Bacterial small subunit ribosomal RNA", at positions 47 to 650 of the family's 1533-position model. The record is from RNAcentral.
CCUAACACAUGCAAGUCGAACGGUAACAGGAAACAGCUUGCUGUUUCGCUGACGAGUGGCGGACGGGUGAGUAAUGUCUGGGAAACUGCCUGAUGGAGGGGGAUAACUACUGGAAACGGUAGCUAAUACCGCAUAACGUCGCAAGACCAAAGAGGGGGACCUUCGGGCCUCUUGCCAUCGGAUGUGCCCAGAUGGGAUUAGCUAGUAGGUGGGGUAACGGCUCACCUAGGCGACGAUCCCUAGCUGGUCUGAGAGGAUGACCAGCCACACUGGAACUGAGACACGGUCCAGACUCCUGCGGGAGGCAGCAGUGGGGAAUAUUGCACAAUGGGCGCAAGCCUGAUGCAGCCAUGCCGCGUGUAUGAAGAAGGCCUUCGGGUUGUAAAGACUUUCAGCGGGGAGGAAGGGAGUAAAGUUAAUACCUUUGCUCAUUGACGUUACCCGCAGAAGAAGCACCGGCUAACUCCGUGCCAGCAGCCGCGGUAAUACGGAGGGUGCAAGCGUUAAUCGGAAUUACUGGGCGUAAAGCGCACGCAGGCGGUUUGUUAAGUCAGAUGUGAAAUCCCCGGGCCCAACCUGGGAACUGCAUCUGAUACUGGCAAGCUUGAGUCUC